Molecule: ribosomal RNA, 1239 nt
Filed under: Salmonella enterica subsp. enterica serovar Saintpaul
Lineage: Bacteria; Pseudomonadati; Pseudomonadota; Gammaproteobacteria; Enterobacterales; Enterobacteriaceae
Description: partial 23S ribosomal RNA
Rfam family: Bacterial large subunit ribosomal RNA
Source: RNAcentral
CAGGUUUACCUGUGUGACUGCGUACCUUUUGUAUAAUGGGUCAGCGACUUAUAUUCUGUAGCAAGGUUAACCGAAUAGGGGAGCCGGAGGGAAACCGAGUCUUAAUUGGGCGUUAAGUUGCAGGGUAUAGACCCGAAACCCGGUGAUCUAGCCAUGGGCAGGUUGAAGGUUGGGUAACACUAACUGGAGGACCGAACCGACUAAUGUUGAAAAAUUAGCGGAUGACCUGUGGCUGGGGGUGAAAGGCCAAUCAAACCGGGAGAUAGCUGGUUCUCCCCGAAAGCUAUUUAGGUAGCGCCUCGUGAAUUCAUCUCCGGGGGUAGAGCACUGUUUCGGCUAGGGGGCCAUCCCGGCUUACCAACCCGAUGCAAACUGCGAAUACCGGAGAAUGUUAUCACGGGAGACACACGGCGGGUGCUAACGUCCGUCGUGAAGAGGGAAACAACCCAGACCGCCAGCUAAGGUCCCAAAGUCAUGGUUAAGUGGGAAACGAUGUGGGAAGGCCCAGACAGCCAGGAUGUUGGCUUAGAAGCAGCCAUCAUUUAAAGAAAGCGUAAUAGCUCACUGGUCGAGUCGGCCUGCGCGGAAGAUGUAACGGGGCUAAACCAUGCACCGAAGCUGCGGCAGCGAACGUAUCACCCAAGACAACUUUACGGAGUUGACGAUUGACGGAGCGAAGCGACGUCAAAGCGUUCAUUAAAGUCGAGUUGGCUUAGGGAUACGUUCGUUGGGUAGGGGAGCGUUCUGUAAGCCUGUGAAGGUGGCCUGUGAGGGUUGCUGGAGGUAUCAGAAGUGCGAAUGCUGACAUAAGUAACGAUAAAGCGGGUGAAAAGCCCGCUCGCCGGAAGACCAAGGGUUCCUGUCCAACGUUAAUCGGGGCAGGGUGAGUCGACCCCUAAGGCGAGGCCGAAAGGCGUAGUCGAUGGGAAACGGGUUAAUAUUCCCGUACUUGGUGUUACUGCGAAGGGGGGACGGAGAAGGCUAUGUUGGCCGGGCGACGGUUGUCCCGGUUUAAGCGUGUAGGUGUGUGUUCCAGGUAAAUCCGGUUCACUUUAACACUGAGGCGUGACGACGAGGCACUACGGUGCUGAAGCAACAAAUGCCCUGCUUCCAGGAAAAGCCUCUAAGCAUCAGGUAACAUCAAAUCGUACCCCAAACCGACACAGGUGGUCAGGUAGAGAAUACCAAGGCGCUUGAGAGAACUCGGGUGAAGGAACUAGGCAAAAUGGUGCCGUAACU